AGGCCACUGCUAUGGGGGUCCGACUAAGCCAUGCGAGUCAUGGGGCGCCUUGCGCGCACCGGCGGACGGCUCAGUAACACGUCGGUAACCUACCCUCGGGAGGGGGAUAACCCCGGGAAACUGGGGCUAAUCCCCCAUAGGCCUGAGGUACUGGAAGGUCCUCAGGCCGAAAGGGGCUUCGGCCCGCCCGAGGAUGGGCCGGCGGCCGAUUAGGUAGUUGGUGGGGUAACGGCCCACCAAGCCGAAGAUCGGUACGGGCCAUGAGAAGUGGGAGCCCGGAGAUGGACACUGAGACACGGGUCCAGGCCCUACGGGGCGCAGCAGGCGCGAAACCUCCGCAAUGCGGGAAACCGCGACGGGGGGACCCCCAGUGCCGUGGCAUCGCCACGGCUUUUCCGGAGUGUAAAAAGCUCCGGGAAUAAGGGCUGGGCAAGGCCGGUGGCAGCCGCCGCGGUAAUACCGGCGGCCCGAGUGGUGGCCGCUAUUAUUGGGCCUAAAGCGUCCGUAGCCGGGCCCGUAAGUCCCUGGCGAAAUCCCACGGCUCAACCGUGGGGCUUGCUGGGGAUACUGCGGGCCUUGGGACCGGGAGAGGCCGGGGGUACCCCUGGGGUAGGGGUGAAAUCCUAUAAUCCCAGGGGGACCGCCAGUGGCGAAGGCGCCCGGCUGGAACGGGUCCGACGGUGAGGGACGAAGGCCAGGGGAGCGAACCGGAUUAGAUACCCGGGUAGUCCUGGCUGUAAAGGAUGCGGGCUAGGUGUCGGGCGAGCUUCGAGCUCGCCCGGUGCCGAAGGGAAGCCGUUAAGCCCGCCGCCUGGGGAGUACGGCCGCAAGGCUGAAACUUAAAGGAAUUGGCGGGGGAGCACUACAAGGGGUGGAGCGUGCGGUUUAAUUGGAUUCAACGCCGGGAACCUCACCGGGGGCGACGGCAGGAUGAAGGCCAGGCUGAAGGUCUUGCCGGACACGCCGAGAGGAGGUGCAUGGCCGCCGUCAGCUCGUACCGUGAGGCGUCCACUUAAGUGUGGUAACGAGCGAGACCCGCGCCCCCAGUUGCCAGUCCUCCCCGUUGGGGAGGAGGCACUCUGGGGGGACCGCCGGCGAUAAGCCGGAGGAAGGAGCGGGCGACGGUAGGUCAGUAUGCCCCGAAACCCCCGGGCUACACGCGCGCUACAAUGGGCGGGACAAUGGGAUCCGACCCCGAAAGGGGAAGGGAAUCCCCUAAACCCGCCCCCAGUUCGGAUCGCGGGCUGCAACUCGCCCGCGUGAAGCUGGAAUCCCUAGUACCCGCGUGUCAUCAUCGCGCGGCGAAUACGUCCCUGCUCCUUGCACACACCGCCCGUCACUCCACCCGAGCGGGGUCCGGGUGAGGCCUGAUCUCCCUUCGGGGAGGUCGGGUCGAGCCUGGGCUCCGUGAGGGGGG
RNAcentral lists this ribosomal RNA (1417 nucleotides) under uncultured archaeon VC2.1 Arc16. Its description in RNAcentral is "16S ribosomal RNA". It matches the Rfam family "Archaeal small subunit ribosomal RNA". The record is from RNAcentral.